This 367-nucleotide ribosomal RNA is filed under the name Clostridioides difficile. RNAcentral's name for it is "bacterial LSU rRNA". It matches the Rfam family "Bacterial large subunit ribosomal RNA", at positions 534 to 900 of the family's 2925-position model. Lineage: Bacteria; Bacillati; Bacillota; Clostridia; Peptostreptococcales; Peptostreptococcaceae. The record is from RNAcentral.
GGGAGUGAAAUAGAACCUGAAACCCUGCACUUACAAGCUGUGGAAGCACAUUUCUUGUGUGACCGCGUACUUUUUGUAGAACGGGCCAACGAGUUACGUUAAGUAGCAAGGUUAAGCACUUAAGGUGCGGAGCCGUAGCGAAAGCGAGUUUUAACUGAGCGUUCAGUUACUUGACGUAGACCCGAAACCGGGCGACCUACCCAUGGGCAGGAUGAAGCGAAAGUAAAAUUUCGUGGAGGUCCGAACCCACGAGCGUUGAAAAGCUCGGGGAUGACUUGUGGGUAGCGGUGAAAUUCCAAUCGAGCCCGGAGAUAGCUGGUUCUCCCCGAAAUAGCUUUAGGGCUAGCCUCAAGGUGAGAGAUACGGA